UGAGGAAUAUUGGACAAUGGGUGAGAGCCUGAUCCAGCCAUCCCGCGUGAAGGACGACGGCCCUAUGGGUUGUAAACUUCUUUUGUAUAGGGAUAAACCUUUCCACGUGUGGAAAGCUGAAGGUACUAUACGAAUAAGCACCGGCUAACUCCGUGCCAGCAGCCGCGGUAAUACGGAGGGUGCAAGCGUUAUCCGGAUUUAUUGGGUUUAAAGGGUCCGUAGGCGGGCCGAUAAGUCAGUGGUGAAAUCUCAUAGCUUAACUAUGAAACUGCCAUUGAUACUGUCGGUCUUGAGUAAAUUAGAGGUAGCUGGAAUAAGUAGUGUAGCGGUGAAAUGCAUAGAUAUUACAUGGAAUACCAAUUGCGAAGGCAGGUUACUACUUGUGGAUUGACGCUGAUGGACGAAAGCGUGGGGAGCGAACA
This 422-nucleotide ribosomal RNA is filed under the name uncultured bacterium. Its description in RNAcentral is "bacterial SSU rRNA". It matches the Rfam family "Bacterial small subunit ribosomal RNA", at positions 355 to 774 of the family's 1533-position model. The record is from RNAcentral.